This 429-nucleotide ribosomal RNA is filed under the name Bacteroidota bacterium. Its description in RNAcentral is "Bacteroidetes bacterium partial 16S ribosomal RNA". It matches the Rfam family "Bacterial small subunit ribosomal RNA", at positions 355 to 776 of the family's 1533-position model. Lineage: Bacteria; Pseudomonadati; Bacteroidota. The record is from RNAcentral.
UAGGGAAUCUUCGGCAAUGGGGGGAACCCUGACCGAGCAACGCCGCGUGAGUGAAGAAGGUUUUCGGAUCGUAAAGCUCUGUUGUUAAGGAAGAACGAGUGUGAGAAUGGAAAGUUCAUGCUGUGACGGUACUUAACCAGAAAGGGACGGCUAACUACGUGCCAGCAGCCGCGGUAAUACGUAGGUCCCGAGCGUUGUCCGGAUUUAUUGGGCGUAAAGCGAGCGCAGGCGGUUAGAUAAGUCUGAAGUUAAAGGCAGUGGCUCAACCAUUGUAGGCUUUGGAAACUGUUUAACUUGAGUGCAGAAGGGGAGAGUGGAAUUCCAUGUGUAGCGGUGAAAUGCGUAGAUAUAUGGAGGAACACCGGUGGCGAAAGCGGCUCUCUGGUCUGUAACUGACGCUGAGGCUCGAAAGCGUGGGAAGCGAACAGG